GAGACGGCGAGGAGCAGGCGAAAACAGCUGGAAUCCGGUGCACCGCCGACUGCCAGCGCCCGCGCCCUUUAAAGAGCCGCCGAACCGCGCGCUCCGAGGGGGCGUGGCCUCGCCUCCCAUUGGACGCCGCUGACCCCGCUCGCCGUCCAGCGCGGGAGAUUUGAGUUGCGCCGCAGGCCUUCCGCACAAAGACCUUUAAGGAGCCUGCGCCGGCCGGGUGCGCGGGCGCUCGCGGGGCCGGAACCGGUUAGGAUUGCGAGAGCCUUGGGGAUUGAGCGCGCAAGGGGUCGCCGGGCGGGCGUUGCCGCUGAGGUUGGCUUUCUGAUUUGCCCUACGAGGUCCAAGAUACCAGAGAUAAAGCGCUGAGAUGGGACACUGAGAUCCUGGGGAGAAACGUGGAACCUGGGAAGGCUCCACUGACUCUCCCAGGUCAAAUAUUUUAAAAGAGGACGAGGGGAGGCUCCCCUCUGCUUGUGUCCUAAGUUCUCUCACUGUAGAUGCUGUAAAAAUCUCUGAACACCAUGUGGCAGCUCAAAGUUAAAGUAGGCGGCAUCCACCGCUGCACAAUUUAUAUGAUGCUGGGGACAAAACCCAGGACUUCUUCCAUGCUAAGCUAACUGGGCCAUAUCGAUAAAUAUUUUAAAUCACCUCUAGCAAAAUUGUCAGGUCUUUUUUUAACAUAUAAUUUCUAAUUCACAUUCCAUUCCUCCGUUAUCCGAGGGGUUUGCCUUUGGCUCCUCUAGCUCCUGGUGUACUCAGUACAAAUGAGGUCUGGCUAUUAAAAUAACACUCGACCACUGAGGGAAGGAGAAGGUCGCCGCCAUUCUCUUCUCCCUGCUCACAACCUCCUCCAAACGCCUCUUCCUCCCGCCAAGCAGGCUGAGCUUAGUGGGCAGCCCCGCCUAGGUUCCCCUGUACCGGGACCUGUCAGGAGCUGAGCGCUUUUG
RNAcentral lists this long non-coding RNA (947 nucleotides) under Mus spicilegus (steppe mouse). RNAcentral describes it as "lncRNA (ENSMSIG00000025931.1)". Lineage: Eukaryota; Metazoa; Chordata; Mammalia; Rodentia; Muridae. The record is from RNAcentral.